GUUGAACGCUGGCGGCAUGCUUUACACAUGCAAGUCGAACGGUAACAGGGUGCUUGCACCGCUGACGAGUGGCGAACGGGUGAGUAAUGCGUCGGAACGUGCCGAGUAGUGGGGGAUAACGCAGCGAAAGUUGUGCUAAUACCGCAUACGUACUGAGGUAGAAAGUGGGGGACCUUCGGGCCUCACGCUAUUCGAGCGGCCGACGUCUGAUUAGCUAGUAGGUGAGGUAAAGGCUCACCUAGGCGACGAUCAGUAGCGGGUCUGAGAGGAUGAUCCGCCACACUGGGACUGAGACACGGCCCAGACUCCUAUGGGAGGCAGCAGUGGGGAAUUUUGGACAAUGGGCGAAAGCCUGAUCCAGCCAUGCCGCGUGUCUGAAGAAGGCCUUCGGGUUGUAAAGGACUUUUGUCAGGGAGGAAAUCCCUAGUGCUAAUAACACUGGGGGAUGACAGUACCUGAAGAAUAAGCACCGGCUAACUACGUGCCAGCCGCCGCGGUAA
Molecule: ribosomal RNA, 500 nt
Filed under: uncultured bacterium
Lineage: Bacteria
Description: partial 16S ribosomal RNA
Rfam family: Bacterial small subunit ribosomal RNA
Source: RNAcentral